This 76-nucleotide transfer RNA is filed under the name Aliivibrio fischeri. RNAcentral describes it as "tRNA-Asn". It matches the Rfam family "tRNA". From Rfam's summary of the family: Transfer RNA (tRNA) molecules are approximately 80 nucleotides in length. Their secondary structure includes four short double-helical elements and three loops (D, anti-codon, and T loops). Lineage: Bacteria; Pseudomonadati; Pseudomonadota; Gammaproteobacteria; Vibrionales; Vibrionaceae. RNAcentral also lists the same sequence under 14 other names. The record is from RNAcentral.
UCCUCUUUAGUUCAGUUGGUAGAACGGCGGACUGUUAAUCCGUAUGUCGCUGGUUCAAGUCCAGCAAGAGGAGCCA